GUAGGUGGCAAGCGUUGUCCGGAAUUAUUGGGCGUAAAGCGCGCGCAGGCGGUUCUUUAAGUCUGAUGUGAAAGCCCACGGCUCAACCGUGGAGGGUCAUUGGAAACUGGAGAACUUGAGUACAGAAGAGGAAAGCGGAAUUCCACGUGUAGCGGUGAAAUGCGUAGAGAUGUGGAGGAACACCAGUGGCGAAGGCGGCUUUCUGUCUGUAACUGACGCUGAGGCGCGAAAGCGUGGGGAGCAAACGGGGGAUUAGAUACCCUGGUAGUCCACGCCGUAAACGAUGAGUGCUAAGUGUUAGGGGGUUUCCCGCCCCUUAGUGCUGCAGCUAACGCAUUAAGCACUCCGCCUGGGGAGUACGGCCGCAAGGCUG
RNAcentral lists this ribosomal RNA (373 nucleotides) under uncultured organism. Its description in RNAcentral is "partial 16S ribosomal RNA". It matches the Rfam family "Bacterial small subunit ribosomal RNA", at positions 527 to 896 of the family's 1533-position model. The record is from RNAcentral.